Molecule: ribosomal RNA, 429 nt
Filed under: bacterium
Lineage: Bacteria
Description: partial 16S ribosomal RNA
Rfam family: Bacterial small subunit ribosomal RNA
Source: RNAcentral
UAGGGAAUCUUCGGCAAUGGACGGAAGUCUGACCGAGCAACGCCGCGUGAGUGAAGAAGGUUUUCGGAUCGUAAAGCUCUGUUGUAAGAGAAGAACGAGUGUGAGAGUGGAAAGUUCACACUGUGACGGUAUCUUACCAGAAAGGGACGGCUAACUACGUGCCAGCAGCCGCGGUAAUACGUAGGUCCCGAGCGUUGUCCGGAUUUAUUGGGCGUAAAGCGAGCGCAGGCGGUUAGAUAAGUCUGAAGUUAAAGGCUGUGGCUUAACCAUAGUACGCUUUGGAAACUGUUUAACUUGAGUGCAGAAGGUGAGAGUGGAAUUCCAUGUGUAGCGGUGAAAUGCGUAGCUAUAUGGAGGAACACCGGUGGCGAAAGCGGCUCUCUGGUCUGUAACUGACGCUGAGGCUCGAAAGCGUGGGGAGCAAACAGG